This 374-nucleotide ribosomal RNA is filed under the name uncultured bacterium. RNAcentral's name for it is "bacterial SSU rRNA". It matches the Rfam family "Bacterial small subunit ribosomal RNA", at positions 524 to 898 of the family's 1533-position model. The record is from RNAcentral.
UACGUAGGACCCGAGCGUUGUCCGGAUUCACUGGGUAUAAAGGGUGCGUAGGCGGUCAUGUGCGUCAGAGGUGAAAUAUCCGGGCUCAACCCGGAGGGUGCCUUUGAUACGGCGUGACUUGAGUGCGAGAGAGGAUGAUGGAAUUCCUGGUGUAGCGGUGAAAUGCGUAGAUAUCAGGAGGAACACCGGUGGCGAAGGCGGUCAUCUGGCUCGUAACUGACGCUGAGGCACGAAAGCGUGGGGAUCAAACAGGAUUAGAUACCCUGGUAGUCCACGCCCUAAACGAUGUAUGCUUGGUGUUGGGGCCCAGAGGUCUCAGUGCCGUAGGAAAUCUGGUAAGCAUACCACCUGGGGAGUACGAUCGCAAGGUUGAA